GGAGCAUGUGGUUUAAUUCGAAGCAACGCGAAGAACCUUACCAGGUCUUGACAUCCGAUGCUAUUUCUUAGAGAGUAGAAAGUUACUUCGGUACAUCGGUGACAGGUGGUGCAUGGUUGUCGUCAGCUCGUGUCGUGAGAUGUUGGGUUAAGUCCCGCAACGAGCGCAACCCUUACCCUUAGUUGUUUUCCCGAAAGGAUUACCCUCUAAGGGGACUGCCCCGGACAACGGGAGGAAGUGGGGAUGACGUCAAGUCCGCAUGCUCCUUACGUCUAGGGCUACACACGUCCUACAAUGGGGUCGACAGUGGGAUGCAAAGCCGCGAGGUGGAGCCAAUCCCCAAACGGCCUCUCAGUUCGGAUAGUAGUCUGCAACUCGACUACUUGAAGUCGGAAUCGCUAGUAAUGGCGGAUCAGCAUGCCGCCGUGAAUACGUUCCCGGGUCUU
Molecule: ribosomal RNA, 446 nt
Filed under: uncultured bacterium
Lineage: Bacteria
Description: bacterial SSU rRNA
Rfam family: Bacterial small subunit ribosomal RNA
Source: RNAcentral